This 253-nucleotide ribosomal RNA is filed under the name uncultured bacterium. RNAcentral describes it as "partial 16S ribosomal RNA". It matches the Rfam family "Bacterial small subunit ribosomal RNA", at positions 524 to 776 of the family's 1533-position model. The record is from RNAcentral.
UACGGAGGGUGCAAGCGUUAUCCGGAUUCACUGGGUUUAAAGGGUGCGUAGGAGGGCAGGUAAGUCAGUGGUGAAAUCCCCGAGCUUAGCUUGGGAACUGCCGUUGAUACUAUCUGUCUUGAAUGUUGUGGAGGUAAGCGGAAUAUGUCAUGUAGCGGUGAAAUGCUUAGAUAUGACAUAGAACACCAAUUGCGAAGGCAGCUUGCUACACAAUUAUUGACUCUGAUGCACGAAAGCGUGGGGAUCAAACAGG